UACGUAGGGUGCAAGCGUUAAUCGGAAUUACUGGGCGUAAAGCGUGCGCAGGCGGUUAUAUAAGACAGUUGUGAAAUCCCCGGGCUCAACCUGGGAACUGCAUCUGUGACUGUAUAGCUAGAGUACGGUAGAGGGGAUGGAAUUCCGCGUGUAGCAGUGAAAUGCGUAGAUAUGCGGAGGAACACCGAUGGCGAAGGCAAUCCCCUGGACCUGUACUGACGCUCAUGCACGAAAGCGUGGGAGCAAACAGG
This 251-nucleotide ribosomal RNA is filed under the name uncultured bacterium. Its description in RNAcentral is "partial 16S ribosomal RNA". It matches the Rfam family "Bacterial small subunit ribosomal RNA", at positions 524 to 776 of the family's 1533-position model. The record is from RNAcentral.